UAGGGAAUCUUCCACAAUGGACGAAAGUCUGAUGGAGCAACGCCGCGUGAGUGAUGAAGGGUUUCGGCUCGUAAAACUCUGUUGUUGGAGAAGAACAGGUGUCAGAGUAACUGUUGACAUCUUGACGGUAUCCAACCAGAAAGCCACGGCUAACUACGUG
This 160-nucleotide ribosomal RNA is filed under the name uncultured Lactobacillus sp. RNAcentral's name for it is "partial 16S ribosomal RNA". It matches the Rfam family "Bacterial small subunit ribosomal RNA", at positions 355 to 507 of the family's 1533-position model. Lineage: Bacteria; Bacillati; Bacillota; Bacilli; Lactobacillales; Lactobacillaceae. The record is from RNAcentral.